UACAGAGGUCCCGAGCGUUGUUCGGAUUCAUUGGGCGUAAAGGGUGCGUAGGUGGCGCCGUAAGUGGGGUGUGAAAUCCCGGGGCUUAACCCCGGGACUGCAUUCCAUACUGCGGUGCUUGAGGACUGGAGAGGAGACUGGAAUUUACGGUGUAGCAGUGAAAUGCGUAGAGAUCGUAAGGAAGACCAGUGGCGAAGGCGGGUCUCUGGACAGUUCCUGACACUGAGGCACGAAAGCCAGGGGAGCAAACGGG
Molecule: ribosomal RNA, 253 nt
Filed under: uncultured bacterium
Lineage: Bacteria
Description: partial 16S ribosomal RNA
Rfam family: Bacterial small subunit ribosomal RNA
Source: RNAcentral